CGGGGCCGCGGUGUCGCGCCUGGCAUAGCCCGACGCCGGCGGGACGCGGCCACCGCACGGUGCGAGCGCACAGCAAGACCCAACCCUCACCAGAAUCGGUAGGACUUGGUGGGCAUUUUUCACAGCAUUUUGGAGCAAACCGUUUUCCAGUAGUUUCUACACAAAUUUACAUAAAACUGGAAUUUAACCUGUCAUGGAGCUGGCUCACAGUUUGUUACUGAACGAGGAAGCAUUAGCUCAAAUCACAGAAGCAAAGAGACCAGUCUUUAUCUUUGAGUGGUUAAGAUUUUUGGAUAAAGUGCUAGUAGCUGCC
Long non-coding RNA from Lepidothrix coronata (blue-crowned manakin), 313 nucleotides. RefSeq lists it as uncharacterized. The record is from RefSeq and is a predicted model, not a curated record. The transcript is spliced from 3 exons. NCBI's taxonomy places the organism in Eukaryota, Metazoa, Chordata, Aves, Passeriformes, Pipridae.